This 253-nucleotide ribosomal RNA is filed under the name uncultured bacterium. RNAcentral describes it as "partial 16S ribosomal RNA". It matches the Rfam family "Bacterial small subunit ribosomal RNA", at positions 524 to 776 of the family's 1533-position model. The record is from RNAcentral.
UACGUAGGCAGCAAGCGUUGUUCGGAGUUACUGGGCGUAAAGGGUGUGUAGGUGGCCUGUUAAGUUCCGUGUGAAAUCUCCCGGCUCAACCGGGAGGGUGCGCGGAAAACUGGCGGGCUAGAGUACGGGAUGGGAGAGUAGAAUUCCUGGUGUAGCGGUGAAAUGCGUAGAUAUCUGGAGGAAUACCGGUGGCGAAGGCGGCAUCCUGGACCGGCAUUGACGCUGAGGAGCGAAAGCCAGGGGAGCAAACGGG